This is a long non-coding RNA of Eurytemora carolleeae, 235 nucleotides long. RefSeq lists it as uncharacterized. The transcript is spliced from 2 exons. NCBI's taxonomy places the organism in Eukaryota, Metazoa, Arthropoda, Copepoda, Calanoida, Temoridae. The record is from RefSeq and is a predicted model, not a curated record.
CAAAGUUGGAAAUAAUUUAGAUUUACAUCAUCCUUCAUCAGAUGUUAUAUUUUUUUACAACUUGUUUGAAAGCAUUUAUCUGAAAGUGGAAGAGUCGUGUCAACUGGAAGUGCAAUUAAAUUGUAAACUUUUAUUUGUAUUUUUUCAACUGCUCAAUUUGUAUAAAUUAUUAAAUAAAAUUAUGAACCUAAAACAACUUGAUUUUAAUUGUGAAAUAUAAACAUUUAUUUUGAAA